AGAGUUUGAUCCUGGCUCAGAACGAACGCUGGCGGCAUUAACACAUGCAAGUCGAACGAGGGCUUCGGCCCUAGUGGCGAACGGGUGAGUAACGCGUGGGACCUGCCUUGGAGUGGGGGAUAACCACUGGAAACGGUGGCUAAUACCGCAUGUGCCCUGCGGGGCAAAGGCUUCGGCCGCUUUGAGAGGGGCCCGCGUCCGAUUAGCUUGUUGGUGGGGUAACGGCCUACCAAGGCUGCGAUCGGUAGCUGGUCUGAGAGGAUGAUCAGCCACACUGGGACUGCGACACGGCCCAGACUCCUACGGGAGGCAGCAGUGGGGAAUAUUGGACAAUGGGGGAAACCCUGAUCCAGCAAUGCCGCGUGCGUGAUGAAGGCCUUCGGGUUGUAAAGCGCUUUCGCCCACGACGAUGAUGACGGUAGUGGGGAGAAGAAGCCCCGGCUAACUCCGUGCCAGCAGCCGCGGUAAUACGGAGGGGGCUAGCGUUGUUCGGAAUUACUGGGCGUAAAGGGUGCGUAGGCGGCUCUCCAAGUCAGACGUGAAAGGCCUGGGCUCAACCUGGGACUGCGUUUGAGACUGUGGAGCUGGAGUCCGGGAGAGGUGAGCGGAAUUCCCAGUGUAGAGGUGAAAUUCGUAGAUAUUGGGAAGAACACCGGUGGCGAAGGCGGCUCACUGGACCGGUACUGACGCUGAGGCACGAAAGCGUGGGGAGCAAACAGGAUUAGAUACCCUAGUAGUCC
This 740-nucleotide ribosomal RNA is filed under the name uncultured bacterium. RNAcentral describes it as "bacterial SSU rRNA". It matches the Rfam family "Bacterial small subunit ribosomal RNA", at positions 8 to 796 of the family's 1533-position model. The record is from RNAcentral.